RNAcentral lists this small RNA (183 nucleotides) under Fructobacillus fructosus. RNAcentral describes it as "Listeria sRNA rli28". It matches the Rfam family "Listeria sRNA rli28". Lineage: Bacteria; Bacillati; Bacillota; Bacilli; Lactobacillales; Lactobacillaceae. The record is from RNAcentral.
UGAUUGCUAUAAUGACGGCAUAGUAGACAAGUGAAGAUGGUGGCGCUCCCUCCUAAGAGGAGGUGAUGCGUAUGGUCAACGACCAUAACGUUCAAUCCUAUGGAAAGGAGGUGCCUGGGUGAUUACAGUGAUGGACACUCUUCAACUGGUGGUAGCUUUUGCGAUUCUUAUCGUCAUGUUCAU